This is a long non-coding RNA of Brassica rapa (field mustard), 7256 nucleotides long. RefSeq lists it as uncharacterized. NCBI's taxonomy places the organism in Eukaryota, Viridiplantae, Streptophyta, Magnoliopsida, Brassicales, Brassicaceae. The record is from RefSeq and is a predicted model, not a curated record.
UACGUAUCAAUACUAAUUUUACACUUCUUUUGUUAAUUACUAAUUUUUAGUAUCAUGUUCAUCAUCAAAUUCUCUCUUAAAAAUAUUAUCAAAUAAAUUUUUACAAUUCUCUUUUGGUUAGGAUUUAAAAAUAUGAUACAAAUUUCUUUUAUUUAAAAUUUUUUAUGAAAAAAGAAAACAACUAUCAAAUAUUUGUUAUAGUUUUGAAGGAUUUAAAAAAAGGAAGUUAUAUUACAUAAUCUUUUACAAUUAUAUUUUGUCUACGAUUUAGAAAAAUAAAAUUUCUAUCAAAUAAUUAUUUUCAGUUAAUAUUAACUAUUUUUAAAAGUUGCAUUUUCAAAAUUCGUUGUUUUCUUUUUUUUUAACCCAAAUUAUUAUUUUUAUUGAUCCAAUGGGCCUAGCCCACGGCCGAAGCCCGAGUACAUCAUAUUACAAACCCAAAAGCCCAUCGAACUAAUCGGGCAAUUAAAACUGAAACAACUGGCCGAGGCCCAAAUCACGAACAGGGCCCAAGACCCAACCUGCUGGGUCGGGGAAGACCUAGACGCGCGUCAAGGAGGCAUGGGCUAAGACACGUGUACGAAUCCUGCUCGUCAGCUCACCACGCGUCGCCCACCUCGACUUGAACGCCCCAUCCUCGCACAGCCACCGUCCCUUCCACCGUCAUCACGUUUCGCCGGAGCUCCGAAACUACAAAGCCUCCGCGAGACCAUCGCUCCUCUGCGUCGUCUUGUCUUCCCUAUCACUAAUAUUUUUACAAUUUUUCUUGUUAGUUAAAUAAUUGUUACUAUCAUGUUUAUCAUUAAUUGUUAAUUAAAAAAUACUAUUAAAUAAAAUUUUACAUUCUCUUUGGUCAUCAUUUUUUUUUAAAAGGAAAAAAAAUCUUAAUUGGUUAAGAUUAGAAAAAAAAAUUGUUUUUAGAAAUCCCUUUUUUAAGGAUUUUAGGAAAAGAAGAAGUUUUUAUUUACACAUUCACAAUCUAAUUUUUUUAAUUGACACAUGUCACAAUUAUAUCAUAUGAAAUAUUUGAAGUUAAUUUUGGUUUUUAUUUUUUUAACACAUAAUUAUUGAAAGUAAAGUUAGUUAAUUAUAAAUAAAGUAAGAUUAUUUUUCUAUUUUUUAUAUUUUAUUUAGACUUUUAAAAAGAAAUUAAUUAUUUUAUAAUUAGUUUUUAUUUUUGAUUUUUAUACAACUAUUUUAAUUUUAAUAGAAAAAAAUUCUGUUUAAUUAUUUAUUUAUUUUGUCUUAUACAUACAAACACAUAUCCAUCAUAUUCACACAUACUCAUGUACGACAACAACAUCAAAAUUAAAAAUUAUGUUGCAUCAAGAAAUUAAAAGAUGUAAUAAGGAUAAUAAAAAGUUGAGUUGCAUCAAAAAAUUAAAAGAAAAUCUCAGGUAAUACUUUUCAUGUAAAUACUAUUGUGUUUUGUAGAAAUAACAUGUGGAAGCUUAAACCUAAAUAUAGAUGUGAAAUAUAAAUGUAGUUUUUUUUAAUUCAUUUUUAUUAUCUUAUUAUAUAUUUGUUUAAUCAUUAUAUACAAUACUAGAAAGAAAAUUAUUAUCAAAUAAUCUUUUGCAAUUAUCUUUUGAUUAGGAUUUAAAAAAAAAAAAUUACUAUUAAAUAAUAUUUAUAAUUAUUUUUUAAUAAAAUUUGUUUUUGUUAAUAUCUUAUUAUAUAUUUUUAAUUAUGAGAUAGAUUAACACAUGUCACAAUCCUAAAUAUAUAAUUGACAUAUGUCGCGAUCAUGUUAAUUAGCAACUUAAAAAACCAAGUUUUAUAUAAUAAGAUAUACACAAAAUAAUAUAAUAAAAUUAAUAUAAAUGUGCGUACUGUUCACUUGUAUGUUUGGUCAUACAUCUCUGCUUAGGCAAGCUACCAAGUCAAACUAUGUUCCAAGUCUUUUAAGAGUCUGAUCUACUCUUGUAUGCAUGAUUUCAGUUUAUCUAUGUUUUUAAUCUCAUCUUCAAGUAUCUUCAAAUACAAAAGACGUUAUUUACCAUUAACAUAGCAGUCGCCUGAAGUCACACUUCACACCGGUCUCCUUAAUUGUCUCCCAAGGUAUAACCAAAGCCUAGCAGUGAUAUACUGAUAUUCAAAGAAUAGCAUAUAAAGAUAUAUGAGUUUCAUUCAGUUUACUCAAUCGAACACCUUACUUUGACGCACAUGAAGAAUAGAUUCUUUAAAUAUAAUAUAGGGACAUUACUUUGAAGCAACAUUUUAAAUAUCUACCAAUUGUUACAUGCAUGUGUAACAAGAAAACAGCGAUGGAAAUAUAUAUAUAUAUAUAUAUAUAUAUAUAUAUAUACUAUAUUUUUUGUCAAAGAGAUAUACUACUUUUUAAUCAGCUUUUUUAAUGGAACAACAUGCCUGCCGGGAGAAUACAACACACAAAGCAUGUUCAGUGUUCCAGAUCUCGCAGCCUGUACCAUCCACAUUGGUCGAAGCAUAGGAGAGACAAACAGGGGCAGACGUAGGUUGUGAGGAACAGGGUCUCGUACCCCGGCUACAUUUUAAUUUUCUUUGAAUGAUUAGCUCAAAAUUUUGAUUCUAAGAAAUAAUAAAGUCCAAAUUCUAUGAAAAUGCCCCGACACCCGGUUACAAGUACUCCUAGAUCCGCCCUUGAGACACGAACAGUUUUGCAGACACAUAACAGCUGAACUAAGCCGUCCACCAGUUUCAUUAAGUAUAAGACCAUUGCCUGAGAAAGCUGAUACUAUUAUCCUAUACGAAUAGAUACUGUCUCUAUGAAAUAGGUAUAACUAACCAGAGGGCAAACAGUUCUUGAGCCAGAUGGCAUAUCGGGGUCUAUGCAACCUGCGUUCAAACAAUCCCUAUCUCAUAACAAUCAUUGUUAACCCCUUCACCCAAAGUGAAAGGAGAAGAACUGACAUGCCUGAGCUCUCUAUCAAGCCAUUUUAUAUGCAGAAUCCCAUGUUGGUCCAUCAUUAUCGGUGAAAUAGCUUUCUGUGCAUAUCUUACACUGUAACAUUGAUAAUCAGAUGCCAAAUUUUAAAUGAUAAUUUGAAGGAAAGUAGAUGAUCUUAAACGGGCUUUUUACCUGAGAAACAUAAACCUAGUUUAUGACAUAUGAUGACCAUAUAAAAAAGGAAACUUAUAUUGUUUUAGCAAUCUAGACAGCUCUGUCCUUAAAGUUAAUGCAACUCCGAUCCUAGAGGAUCUUGCUUCCCCACUUUGAGAAAAAUUGAUAGUUAAUUGAGGCUUUUAUACUCAAAAGAAAAAAAAAAUUAGGCUUUUAUUUCUCCCAGAUAAACAUGUUAGAAUAAGAAUAUUAAUAGUAAUACUAUCUCCAUGUGUAGCGUUAUCCAGGGCCGGCUUAAGAUGAACAAGGGCCCUUGGGUUUUCCCAACUUUUUUAAAGGUCCUAUAGUAAUUAUUUUCUUAACGUUUUGUAAAAGACUAUUUUUAUUUAACCUUUUUCACACGAUCAUCAAGCAUGCACAUCCCUUUAAUAUUUCAAUUAGAAAAAAAUGUAAUACUGUGUGUUUAAAGCAGCCCAAAUCUAGAUCAUAUAUGCUAAUGAAAAUAAUUACGACUCCUAAUAUUGCUGGAAUUGGAGGGGAUCCGGGGUGGUUGCACCGCCUUGUUAAGUCGACACUGGCGUUAUCAUUGAGAUAUCGGUGAUGAUUGAUUGUGUUACUUGUAUAUUAGCACAGUAUUUAGUUUUUUUAAAAAAAUUAUUAAAUUUUAAGGAAAUUGCUACAAAUACCACAUUCAUAAUACCAUUUACACUUACCACUUUUACUCUCAUUUUUAAUGAAGAGUAAAAAACACUUAUACUCAUACCUAUAGGAUUAACUAAUCUAGACUUAGGGUUUAGAGUUGAAGAAUAGAGUAGGGUUUUUGGAAUGUGAAAUUUAAGAUUCUAAUAAAUAUAAAAAAAAUUAUAAAAUAGUUUUAAACAUAAUUUUCGAUUUUCAAAAAGAAAUUUCAAAUAAAAAUUCAAAAAAAGAUUAUAAAAAGUUCGAAUUUGAAAAAGUUUAAUUCGAAAACAUACAAAAAUUAUUUUUUUAUUUUUAUAUUUAUUUAAAUAAUGAUUUGUUAUAUAUAUAGAGAACAAUGGUACAAAAAUCUUAUGCCACUUAAUGAAGAAUGUAUUUUUAAAAAUGUCCAUUUAGUGGUGGUAAAGAUGAAAAGUGGUACCAUGAAAGUGGUAAAUAUGAAACUUCCCCUAAAGUUUACCAAUUUUGUUGUGAUUUUAUUUAUUUUUAAAUUAAAACCUGCAUCAAGCUUCUAUUUUUAUAUAUACAGUAAAAACUAUGUAUCAUAAACAAAAAUCACUUUCUUUAUUUUUAUGUUGUAGAAUCUGACCAUAAUAUCAUUAAAUUAGGUAAUUGUAGGUACAUUUAUUGCUAUAUUAAUUUUUAUUAUAAUUUAUUUUUUAACAUAAGUUCUAACUUAACUUCAACGUUUUAUAAAAGUUAGUAUUCAUAUUGUAAUAUUUUCUCUAUGAUAUAUCUAAAUAUAUAAUAUGUUUGCCCAGUUCUAACCAGAACGCUUUGUUAUUUAUAACAUACAAUAUAUAUUGUAAGCUUUUUAUUUCAUUGUAGAAAAAUAUAGAAAACACUUACAUCUGUUCUAUCAUAUAUUGUAGAUAAAACAACUAAUUCUACCUUUACGCUAUCUUCUAAGCACAUUAGAAUUUAUAUUUUAACCUUAUGUAUGUGUUAUAUUCUGUUUAGAAUAUGUAUUUAACAUUUUUGAUUAUUUUUUGUUUUUAAAUCUGAAAAAAUCUAGGAAACAAUCUUAAUUAAUUUUAUUCAAAUUUUUCUUUUUUUUUACGUAAAGUUACGUAUAUUGAAUGACUUUAAAUUCAUUCUCUUUUGAUUCAACGAUCUUCUUCAUUUAUUCUUCUUCUUCCCUAUCAAAUCAAAUGGUUUAUAUAUAUGUAACAUAUGGUGCUUGGAGAUGGGAUGUGAAUAACGAGUGGGGGAUCAUUGUUAAUUCGUCUUUGUUGAUAUUCAUUUUUCUCGUAAGGAAGGCGGAAAAAACUAGAAAAACGACACAAUUAGACUUUUAGAGUUAUUUUUUUUCUUUUAUUUUUUUAUUUUAUUUAUUUAGGGACAUUUGAGAGAAUUGCCCUUAUAUUUUUUUUUUUGAAUAAUACUUAUUUGAAUUCAUACUUUUUUUUAUUUUUUAUGUUUUCAAUUAUUUCAAUUUAGUUUUUGAAAUCCAAAAAAAUCUUUUUGAAAGUAUUUAAAAUAAUAAUAUUUAAAAUUUAUAGUAUUUAUUUAUUUAAGGUCAUCCUAGAGAUUUCUAAAAAUAUAAUUACUAUUUUAAAGUUAAGUAAAUUAUGUUAACCUAUGUUAUUCAUUUAAUUUCGUAUUAAAAAAUAAUAGGUACAUUUGGACAACUUUAUAGACUCAAAGGUAUAAAGAGACAAAUUCAUUCUCCAACAUGGUCCAAUUAGCCAGUUUUUUUCUUUUCUUAAUAAUAUAAAAUGUUUUUCCAUAUCUAAAUAACUUUAUCGUUAACAAAAUUUGUGUAACCAAUUGCAGUAUUUACAUUAUAAUUAAAAUUAUUAAUAUAUAAAUUUUGAAAAAAAAUAUUUUUAAUAAAUGUGUAUUAAUGUAAAACAUCAUAUAAUAUACAAAAGAGGGAGUAUGUAUUAUUUUCUUAACAACCAUAUUUUAAGGUUCUCGAGUAUAACUAAUGUGAGAAUUAUACAUAAUUAUUUUUUGAACAACAUUAUUAGCUUAAUUUUUUAAUCAUUUUCUUCAUAAUUAGCUCAAUUUGUAGUUGACGUAAGUAAUUAAUUAAUUGAAUUAAAUAUUAAUAUAGAUUCUGAAGAGUUUCUUAACCGAUAAACUUGCUCUAAAUUCAUAUAUUUUGAGAACCCAUGUGAAAACUCUCCUCUAAUUUUUACGUGGUUGAAGUCAAUGCAACUCCAUUACUCAAAGUUUCUGCUUCCCCAACUUUGAAGUUUUAAAAUAUCUUAAAAAACUGUUUCAGUUUUUUUUUUCUCUCUUAAAUGUCAAAUUUCUUUGAUUAGACUGAACUCAGUUAUUUUAGAGCAUGAUUAAUGAGGGGUUUUUAGCGGAAUAUAAUAACCCGUCUCUUAACUUUUAACUAAAAAAAUUAAGAAACAAUUCUUAAAUAAGAUAUUUAAGAGACAUGUUCUUAUAUUCCGCUAAGAACUCCACCCUAAGAACUCCUCAUUAAUCAUACUCUUAAUCUCCUGCUUGUUUAUUGCUUAGUGUUCUUUGGAAAAUAAUUUUUUCUGUUUCAUUAGUGAUUCGAACUUAUGUAGGGAUGUUACUUUAAAGCUAAAGUCUUAUAAACCAGCUAUUAUUGUAUGUGUAUGUAUGUAAUUAAGCACAACAUGUGCUACGCUGCCUACAUUAAACUAUUACAUGCAUCUUUUGUCAAACCAAACAGACAAGGAAAUAUAUAAUAUUUAUUUGACAACCAUGUUAUAAUGACCUGGCGUAUAACGUGGGAGAUUAUUCUAAUAAUUUGGAUAUUAUUUUGAGUUGCAAAAUCUGAUAAUCCACAGGACUAUAAAGUAGAAGGCAUGCAUGUAUAAACAAUAACACUAGAAACACAAAACAUAAAAGUCUUAUAUAUACUUAGGAUCGAUAGCUAAUUACUAUAUAUGUCGAUAUCCCACGCCCAUCCUUUGCUUCUUCCUCUCCUUGUAUCACUCUUUUUCUUGCCUGCUGUUUUGGGCGGAAAUAACUUCAGAACGUGCAAUGGAAGUUAUGAAAACUAUCGCGUUAAUGUCGAGACAGUGAAGAUCUCUCCAUACCCGGUUACCCGUAGCGGUAAUGCAGACAUUACAAUAACCGGUUAUACAGCCAGAAUCCCUGAUGGUUCAGUUGUAGAACUCACCAUUGCGAAAGCCUCCGCCGGCGACCCUAAAACUUCCAGUAUUAAAACCUACAACUUGUGUGAUAAAGUGAGGUGCCCCAUCAGACCUGGCCGCUUUUCGUUUACUUUAUCUAAAAUAUUAAGUAACGAGGAGCUAAAAGGAAGGAUAUAUGUUAUUACAGUACGCAUCAAGGAUGCGAAAGACACAAGUAUGUGCGUUGUGUUCCUUUGUUGGGUUACCGAUGAUGGUAGUACGUCUCUUAUUAGGCAAUCUGCUACGAUGAUGGAGCUUGAAUAAGCCAUUGAACCAAACAGGAUGAUUUCUGUAUGAACCUUAUUUUACUACCAUAGGACAACUGAUAUUUGUAAAGAAUAAUAAGAACAUAAACUAAAAUUUCAAUACCAAAAUAUAAAAAUAAAGAAGAA